Molecule: long non-coding RNA, 1598 nt
Organism: Dalotia coriaria
Lineage: Eukaryota; Metazoa; Arthropoda; Insecta; Coleoptera; Staphylinidae
Exons: 4
Source: RefSeq, a predicted model, not a curated record
AUCGCGGACGAGUGCACAUCGUUCGUUGUUUAUUUAGUUUUAUUGAACAUUUCCAUUUUGGCCUUCAUUUUAUAUUCAAAGAGCAGAAUCUAUACGAGAAUUGCACUGCACGUUAAUAUAAUAGUGCGUGAUUAUCUAAAAUAUUCAAAAUCAUAAACAUUUUGAGGCACUGAUUUUAGUUUAUUUUAGGGCUUUAAAAGCUGAAUGGAAGCUCACAGGAGCAUCCUACUUACAACAAAUUGGCUCUAGAAAUUGAAUAGUACCUCACAAGAGAGUCAUCUUUUUAUGAAAUUGACUCUAGAAUUUGAACGGGCCUUUGCAGGAGAUGUCUUAGGACAACAGUUCUAUUUUGAUAUUGUAAGUAUUGAAAUGGUUUCUCAUUUUCGUAAAUAAUUUCCAUACUUCAUACAAUGAAAAGUAAAUUAAAUUAGAUAUUUUAAAGAUUAGCAGACGAAUUGCAGAUUUCUUAGUAAUUUAUUUCAAGUUUAUGGUCCCAAAAUCAGAUGGCGCUGCUAUCGAGCUAUCUAUUGUAUUUUGUUCCGUCACUCCCAGAUGGCGCUCGUGUCAGCUAUCUAUAUUGGUUUGCUCCGCCACAUUCAGAUGGCGCUUUCAUCGAUUUGAUUUCAAAUUUUACUUCAUUUUUGUUUUGGGUUUGGUGCGCUGUCACGUUUUACUUCAUGUCAUUUUUAUACUAAACUUUUAUGUUUAACAAAACGAAAAUUAAGAAAAGUUUUAAUUUUGUGUUUUGAGCGCUCUAAUUUUUGGUUGUUUUAGUUAGACUAGCGGGCGAACGGGAUGUCGUAGAACAACUAUUCUUUCAUAAAUAUUUAAAUUGUAUAUAAAACAUUUGGGUACAAGCGUAAGCCAUAAAAGUGGUAUUUUAUCACUGUACUUUAAUUAAAAUCCUCUCAUCCAAAUAAUAUUUUUUUGUAAACUUCAACUGAUAACUUGAUAAUUUGCAAUAUAUUUGUAAUCGCCCCUCCAACUGCGGAUUGGUUAUCCAUUCUACUUGCACACCUAGUCCGACUUAGUCAAUUGAGCGCUGUCUCGUAGUGCGCACGUGUUUUGUUCAUUAAUCAAACAUGGUGACAAUUGUUUGCGUUUCUUAAUAUUUCAUUUCUGUCGUAAUACUAGAAUCGGUUGACCAUGAGAGGCAUUUAAAAGUAACAGCCCAGUGUAGCGCACAACGAGUGAUUUGAGUGAUCAUUUGCGGUGCGCGCAUGGCGUCCGUCGUUAAAUGUACGUGUUUGAUAUGAGAACAAGGUUUCCAUUUGUGAUAUCCGCGUGGAAUAGUAAAGAUGUGCGUAUCAUCAAUUCUACUUACAAUUUGCGGAAUCGUGUUUGUGCGCGGUGUCACAAUAAGUUGCGGUGACUAAGGAAAUGGCUCCAUGGAAGAGGAUUGAAAAUACAAUUACAACGCCAUAAAAAUCAACUUCCAUAUUCUUUACAUGGAAUUCCCGGGUUACGGCCAGAUUUAUUUCAAAAUGUAAGUACUGAAAUAUUUUAUUUUUGGAGUAGCUAAUUAGAUAUUAAAACUGUACUUUUAAGAAAUGUUUCUAUUAUUAUUGUUGUCAAUAAAACACUAUGUAAAAUUAUAA